GUCUUAUUGAAAUUAAAUAAUAAGUUUAUUCUGCCCAUUGAAUGAAAUUUAAAAGGCUGCAGUAAUUUAACUGUACAAAGGUAGCAUAAUCAAUAGUUUUUUAAUUGAAAACUUGAAUGAAAGAAUUGAUAAAAUAUUAAUUGUCUCAAAUUUAAUUUAAUUGAAUUUAAGUUAAAGGUUAAAAUUCUUUUAUAUAUUUAUUAGACGAUAAGACCCUAAGAAUUUUAUAAUAAUUUUUUUAUUAAUUAAAUUAAAUAAAUUUAAAAUUUUAAAUUUAUUAUUUUAUUGGGAGGGUAAUUAAAAAUUUAAACUUUAAUUAAAUUUAAACUUUGAUUAUUGAAUUUAAUGAUUAUUAUUAUAGUUAGAAGAAAAAAUUACCUUAGGGAUAACAGCGUAAUAAUUUUGGAAAGUUCAUAUUGAUAAAAUUGUUUGCGACCUCGAUGUUGAAUUAAAAUUAAAAUUAAAUGGAGAUAUUUAAAUUUUUAGUCUGUUCGACUAUUAAAAUUUUACA
Molecule: ribosomal RNA, 511 nt
Filed under: Mischocyttarus mastigophorus
Lineage: Eukaryota; Metazoa; Arthropoda; Insecta; Hymenoptera; Vespidae
Description: partial 16S ribosomal RNA
Rfam family: Bacterial large subunit ribosomal RNA (bases 385-511)
Source: RNAcentral